AGAGUUUGAUCCUGGCUCAGGAUGAACGUUGGCGGCGUGCCUAAUACAUGCAAGUCGAACGAGGACCCUGGUAUUCGUAUCGGGAUCUCCUAGUGGCGAACGGGUGAGUAACGCGUUGGUGAUCUGCCCCGAAGUGUGGAAUAACAGCCCGAAAGGGUUGCUAAUACCGCAUGAUGUCAUAAGUUUUAGAAACUUAUGUCUAAAGAAGCAAUUCGCUUUGGGAGGGGCCUGCGUCCCAUCAGCUAGUUGGUAGGGUAAUGGCCUACCAAGGCAAAGACGGGUAGGGGACCUGAGAGGGUGGCCCCCCACACUGGAACUGAAACACGGUCCAGACACCUACGGGUGGCAGCAGUAGGGAAUAUUGCCCAAUGGACGAAAGUCUGAGGCAGCAACGCCGCGUGAGCGAUGAAGGCCUUCGGGUUGUAAAGCUCUUUUACGUGGGAAGAGAAAGGACGGUACCACGUGAAUAAGGAUCGGCUAACUACGUGCCAGCAGCCGCGGUAACACGUAGGAUUCGAACGUUAUCCGGAUUUAUUGGGCGUAAAGCGCGUGUAGGCGGUUUGGUAAGUUGGAUAUGAAAGCUCCAGGCUCAACCUGGAGAGGCCAUUCAAAACUGCCAGACUAGAGGACGGUAGAGGGAGGUGGAAUUCCGGGUGUAGUGGUGAAAUGCGUAGAGAUCCGGAGGAACACCAGUGGCGAAGGCGGCGCUCUGGGCUGAACCUGACGCUAAGACACGAAAGCUAGGGUAGCGAACGGGAUUAGAAACCCCGGUAGUCCUAGCCGUAAACGAUGUAGACUUGGUGUUGGUGGGGUAAAAGCCAUCAGUGUCGCAGCAAACGCGAUAAGUCUGCCGCCUGGGGACUACGGUCGCAAGGCUAAAACUCAAAGGAAUUGACGGGGGCCCGCACAAGCAGCGGAGCGUGUGGUUUAAUUCGAGGCUACGCGAAGAACCUUACCUGGGCUUGACAUAUUGGUGGUAGGGAGCCGAAAGGUGACCGACCCUUCGGGGAGCCAUUACAGGUGAUGCAUGGCUGUCGUCAGCUCGUGCCGUGAGGUGUCCGGUUAAGUCCGGUAACGAGCGCAACCCUCGCUGUAUGUUAUACGUGUCAUACGGGACUGCCGGUAUAAAGCCGGAGGAAGGCGAGGACGACGUCAAGUCAGCAUGUCCUUUAUGUCCAGGGCUACACACACGCUACAAUGGUCGAUACAAUAGGUUGCAAAACCGCGAGGUGGAGCCAAUCCUCAAAAUCGGCCUCAGUUCGGAUUGUAGGCUGCAACUCGCCUGCAUGAAGCUGGAGUUGCUAGUAAAUGCGCGUCAGCUACAGUGCAUUGAAUACGUUCCCGGGAAUUGUACACACCGCCCGUCACGUCAUGGGAGUUGGUUUUACCCGAAGACGGUGCGCUAACCGCAAGGAGGCAGCCGGCCACGGUAAGGUCAGCGACUGGGGUGAAGUCGUAACAAGGUAGCCGUAGGGGAACCUGCGGCUGGAUCACCUCCUU
This 1500-nucleotide ribosomal RNA is filed under the name uncultured prokaryote. RNAcentral describes it as "partial 16S ribosomal RNA". It matches the Rfam family "Bacterial small subunit ribosomal RNA". The record is from RNAcentral.